Molecule: long non-coding RNA, 34424 nt
Filed under: Capsicum annuum
Lineage: Eukaryota; Viridiplantae; Streptophyta; Magnoliopsida; Solanales; Solanaceae
Description: long non-coding RNA (CANN_LNC012637)
Source: RNAcentral
AUGACUUGAUGUCUCAAAUAACGUUGUACUGCUUUGCUGUGCACCGGGCCAAUCGAAUAUAUAUUAACCUCAGUUUUAUCGCGGAAUGACCUAUCUUAUUAAAAACUCUCCUGAUCACUAUCUUUCUGUAUCUGACUGUUCCUGUUGAGAUUUCAUUCAUGGAAUUUGGUGGGUAGAAGUUACCUUUGCUGGAUUUCUAGUUAAUCUUCCCUGCUUACCUAUUUUACUCAAAAUAUGUGGAGCUUCUCUGGUUGUUAUUUUGAGUAAAGUGUUGUGAAAACUUCCCAAUGAACUCUUGGCUCAUGAUUCUCCGUGACUUCCAAAGAGAGAGGGAGAUGUUGGUUUAAAGAAUUUUCAUUUGAUUAUUGGUUAUUCGUUCCCCUUUGAAAUUUAAUUUUGACAUGUUUGAUUCGUAAAUGAGAUUUCCAGGUUCCAUCUAGCAUUAGUUCAUAGUAUUUGUUGUCUACUGGGCUACCUGUGUAUAGGGAUUUUAUAUAUACUGAUGGGAAUAGAAAGCAUUCCAGUCUCACGGGCCCUCUUCCCAGUUUCCCUUUAUGUUUUCUUCCCCUUAAAUAGGACCAUGAGUAUAAGUUCGAUAGAACCUUUAAGUCUUUUGUCUUGCAAAAAAGGCUCGGGAUAUCUGUCCCAUUAUGUUAUAACUUUGUCUAUUCGCUUAUCGCUGAGACUUGGGUACCUCAAAUGGUCACGUAGAAGCAUGUUGCGGGAUGGAACUUGGAAUUUAUACUUCUAAGGUUGAUGUUGAAUAAGAUAAUAUUUAGUUAGUAGCUUUUGAAUGUAUAAAUCUGUUUACUUCUUUUUCUACCCGUAUUCUGAACAUGCUUUGAUUGGUUUUGCAUUUUGAUGUCAAACUUCUGCUUUUCACUUCAUAGGCAUGCAUCCGGAUCGAUAUUAUUCUCUCUUUCACUUGACAAUAUUUUUUCUGAGUUAACAUGUCCAUUCUUUUUAUCAUCUGCCUUCUUUUAAAUAAGAUAUGUGGUUUCCUAGCAUUUUUUUUGUUCGAAUAUUUGUGUUAAGACAUUUAUUGUUCUAUUUUUUCCUUUUGUAUUUCGGAUAUGUUUUGAUUUCUUUUUUUUUUUUUUUUUGCAUGUAAACCACCUUGGAGUCCAAAUGGACUCUUCUUCCUUGCAUUUCAUGGUGAGCUAACAUGGCCCCCAUCCUUUGAGUCAAUCCCAAAAAAGAAUCCAAACGCCUAUCACGUGGCGUACGAAUACUAAGAAUCGAGAGAAGAAUGAUUGGAGUAAAGUCCUAUCAUUUGAAGCAGCUACGAGACCCCAAAGUUUCAUUUAUUAUUUUUGUUUAUUUAAUUAUUGUCAUCUUUAUUUAUUUAUUUAUUUAUUUAUUUAUUUACUUAUUUCCUUAUUUAUUCAUUUGGGCCUCGAAGCCGAAGUUGUACUUAAUACCGGUGAAGCGAGACUCGAUCUAAAGGCUCAAAAACAUAGAAUUAGGACAGGUGGAAGACGGGCUGAAAGCCCAAUAUCUAGAUUAGGACAAGGUUGUCGAUUAGGGCCGAUUGACUCAAGUCCUUCUGCUUCUACCCUUUCCCUUUUACUUAUGCUAAUUUGUUUUAUGUGUUUUGUUGUGAACCUAGUUAAAAUCCCUAGCUAAGUCGCUAAAAACUGUUUUUUCACAAACCUUAAAAAUAUUUCCUAAACAAACUACUUUUUCCAACAAAUCAAUAUUUUUUCAAAGUUAGUCAAAAGUGUUUUCAAACAGAUCGGAUAACCACAAGUUAGCGGAACGUUUUAGGUGCCUAACACCUUCCUAAAACGUUAAUAGGAACCAGUUACUCGGAAUCUCUAAAUCAAAAUGAUUUUCUUGUUUUGAAUCGUUUCGAAGUAACUCUCUAAAGUUUUCUUAAUUCCUUUUCAAAAUUAAGUGGCGACUCUUCUCAAAAAGUCAAAAUUUUUCCGCAAAAUAGACGGAAAGCUUAUUCAAUUCUUUACAAUUUGAAGGUAUAAAUCUGCCAAAAUACCACCUAUAAACCAAGUUAUGCUCGUUCAAAGAUGACCUAUAUGAAAUCACACACGAAAACUUGGUGGAUUCAAAAUUUCUUAGCUUGGCUUACCCUAAGUGACUCUUAUGAACAUGCUUAACACAUCAUAAACUCUAUUAUCACUAGGAUACUCAUCCUAAUUCAUGUACUCCAAUAUGAAUCACAGGAUAGAAGGUUUCAUAUGUAGGAAUAACGGUUCAUUUUCUAGCUUAGAAAUAUACAGGGUAUUACAAUAUUAAAGGACCUGACAAUGUUUUUGUAGAUUUUCUUUCAAGAAACUUCCAAUAUGGACAAUAGAACCUAAGUGUUGGUUAACAGGAUAUUCCAAAGAACGAAUGGCCUUGAAGAAGCCAUAAAUGAUAAAAGCAAUAUGCUAUUUAACAUUCGUGAUGAACUAUCAGCUUUGUCUGAAAUGAUGAGAAAAUGACAAUAUGGACUAAAUUAGCUUAACACUGAUCAAGCUGAAAAUAUCACAGAAUGUCAACUUCUCUGUGAACAUCUGGAUACUAGACCUAAGGGAUCAAAAGUCCCUAACAAAGUGGCAGGAGAUGUCCCACUAGCACCUAGUGCCAAAAAUAUCUCGAUGGUAAGCCUGGAUAUGUUAAUGGCCGAGUCUUCGGACCUAGCUAAAAGACAAGCACAAGAAAAAUUCACUAUAUAAACAACAUCAGUGAAAACUGAAAAACUUCUAAUAAUUCAAAAAAAAGGACUAACUCUUCUGCAGGAAAAAGAUUUGCUUCUUUUCAAGUCUGAAAAAUCCAUCCAAAAGAGGAAGAAUACUUGGCAUUCACCAGACAAAUUUACAAUCUACCAAGUGAGAGUGGAGAAACUUUUGGAAUUCUAGGAACAAAAAGUUUGUAUCCAAGAAUUUCAGUAUUUCCAGGCGGAAAUCCUAGCUUCACAGCUAAAUUAUUUGAAUUCGGAUAUCUGGACUGAGUCUAUACCAAUUCAGAUUUAUCUAAAUUAAUAAAAUUACCAAAUCAAUUAACAAGUUCAAUAAGAAACUUUGCUGAGGGACAUGGAGUCUAUUGCAGAUUUUACAGCAUAUCCAUGGAAUUUCAAAAUGAAAAAUUAUUUUUUCCAAUGAUUAAUUACAUCUCGGUGAAAAUAUUAAAGACUUUCAGUAUCAGCGCAAUAGACGUAGGUAAAAAAUUCCUGUAUUUGAACUCAAAAUGGAUUCAAACAAGGAGAGCUUUAGCGAUGAAGGCCCUGUACAACAUCCUUAAAAACAUUAUGAAGAUAAUUAUAAAUCCAUGACAGGGAUACACAUUGGGUUUUUAUGACCAGAGAAAAAUCAAAGUCAGAAGUUCUAAAGGAGAAAAUUACUAAAUUUGAAACACAUUAAUUCUAGGCUACCCCAGAAACAUGGGUAAUGGCGUGCAAAUUACUGGAGCACAAGCACAACAAAGAAGAAGAUGAAGAUAGCACAUCAAUGUAAAAAAAAAUAUAAAUUACAACUAUAAAAAGAAUCGAAAGGCAAUAUUAGAGCAAAAGACGUAAGAACUUACGUCAAAAUAUUCGUCGGCAUAAAGCGAUAAAAUAAAAAAAGAAUAUUGGACCACUUAGUCUAAAAGAUGCCACAAAAGGAAAAAGAAAGAUCAUCCAGAUAAGGGUCCAAAAAGAAAUAGAAGAUUUUUGAAGAAUCCAAAAAAAAUAGAUAAUUAUAAUUCUACCCCUCCUUACAUCUAUAAAAGGAGUGAUUGAAACACAAGAAGAGGCGGAACAACUUUUCUGAAAUCUUCCAUUUUGGAAAAAUAUUAGGUGUCCUGCAAAUAAGUGAGUAAAACGUUUCUCCCAUCACGAAAAUGUAUCUAAAUAGUUUGUAUGUAAGUAUAAGGAAGAUCUGAUUAAAGAUUUUUUCUUAUGUAGUAUUUUUAUAAUAUAAAGAUUUUUGUUUAUAUAUCUUCUGUCCAAUUCAUAUGUUAGCCACAAGUGAAGGGCGUGAUCUUCCGUAUCGGAGGAAAGACAAUAGGAUAGCCUCAGACCGAAUGUGGUACUAUUACAGCUAGCAAAAGAAAAAGUUGAAAGGUAUAAAUAUUAAACUCCAAGUUUUCAUGAAACUAUUAGCAUAAGGAGAAAUCUAUCUUCAUGUCUUUUAAUACUUAUUCAUACAUACUAUAUGAUACUAGGUAGCUGUAAAGAAUAAAGAUUAUCAUGAAAUGUUCAAUAUUUCAAUGAGUUAUUACACUAUUUUUCUUGAUGAUGAAACAUUAACCACCAUUUUAAUGGUAAUUAAAUUAAAAGAGAUUUGCAAGAGAAAAUUCUUGAAAAAAUCAUAGAUAACCUUGUUCAAGAAGAACGGUCUAUAAAUGAUUAGUCAUAUAUAUAUAGUGAUAAUGAAUCAUACUAUUUGUAUAAUGAAAACUAUUUCACUGACUAAAUCAAAUAAAAUUUCGCAUACCCUGUUUGUGAACAACACCCCUCCAAGUUGGUAUCAGAACCAAUAAGAUUAAAAUACUCUAUGAGAAGUCCUCGUAAAAAUACUAAAACUUAUAGAGAAAUCAAGAGAGAAUUAAAAAGUCUUUAUUUUGAAUAUAAAAGACUUAACAAUACAAAAGAAGAUCUAAUGAGAUUGGAUUAGCUAAUCACCAUAAUCUCUAGACUAGAGUAUAAUCUAAUUAGACAUCUGGAGUCCAGAAAUAAAACCAAAUGAAUAAAGAACAAAACAACGAACAAAUUUUAAAAUUGAUUUUGGAUUAAAAAAACUAGAAGUUAUUAUUCAAAAAAAUCGCUAUGAAUAUAAUUUAUUCACAUGAGUUUGCAAAAAAUCACUAUUCUCUCAAAGAAAAGUUAUACUUCAGUUGGAACUUGAAAUUUUCCACUAUGAUCAUAAGCUCUGACAUAAUCUAUAUUAACUUGCUAUGGGUUAUAACAAAAUUUUACAAAAACUUGAUGACCUUAUUGACAUACAAAAGCAUCUAGUCGUAAAAAUCAACCUAAUAGAAAAGAAAAUCUAGUUUAUCAAAGAAAGUUCACCUAUAAGGGUAAAAACCUCAUCGAAAGGCCUGCCGCCUUUGAUAAAGAAUUAGGAAAGAAGUUUAGGAGAGAAAUUUUUGCUCCCUCCUUCUCUAAUAAAGGUAUAUAUCAAAAGGGUAGCCUUGAUGAAAAGAUUAUAUCUAGAUUUCUCGAAAAGAAACGAAAGGCGGAAAUAGAGGAUAAAUCUACUCUUAAAAGAGAAGAAAAUUCUAGUUCCAAACUAAAAGAAGGUUCUAGUUCAAAAACAAAAAUAGAAGAAUCAAAUGAAUGACAUAGAUGAAUUAAUUUAUGAAUUAGAAUAACUUGAUCUAAAAGACCAAGAUUACCAUGUUCUCAUGAACAGAGGAGAUACAGGAGGACUACAAGGAAACUUUAGGAGUCCUAAAGAAAAAGGAAGCUCUCUUCUACAGAGCCUAUGCAAAAAGAUAAUUUCUUUCCUAAAUCCAAAAAAGAAAAAGACUAUAAUAGUCAAUAUCAUAACAAUAAUAAGGCCAAAUACAUGCCUAAAAGACUUUUAAAAGGAGCCACUGGAUCUACUCAGUUUUUAGAUCUAUAUUGUAAAAGAGAACCAGGAGAAUUUCUGGAUUUAUGGGUUAAAAACCUAGAAUUAUUCUUCAUCACGAGAAAAGGAGUAAACUAUACAAAUGACGAAAAUUAUUUAAUUGCUGCUAACACCUUUACUGGAAAGGUAAACAAUUGGUUUAAAGGAGUAUCAGAAGAUGCUGAAAAAGUUUUUAAAAUUGAAGUCAUAGAGCAGUUUGAAAAAUCAACUAGAGCAGGAAUAGACCAUAGUAAACUAUGUUGGAUGUGAAUUCUUAGGUAUCUAAGGGGAUGUCUCUAGAGAAAAAGAAACCAAAGGCUAUUAGCAGCAGAAUGCCGAAAGAAACUUCAAAUUUGUAAAAUGAGCUAUAUCCAUGAAUAUACCUGCAAAUUUGAAAAAUACUACUACAAUCUAUUUGAAAGUAGCCUAAUCAUGAAGACAUAUAUGGAUAAAUACUUCUAAAAUCUACCAGGAUUUUGGGCUAGUUAAUUCAGGGAAGAAUAUGCUUAAAGAAGAUCAAACAGGUGAUUUAUUAGGGAAAAGAAUUUCAUUUCUUAAUCAAAGAAUUAGCUAUCUUUGUAUGUUACAUAAUAUACAAAGAAAAUCCAAAAGAAUCAACACCCAAAUUUAUUGUGAAGAUACAGAAGCAACAUCAUAAUGGGGAUGUCAUAAAAGAAAUCCUUUAAAAAGAAAAAGAAAAGACAAAGGAUUAAUCAAAAGAAAAAAUGUCUCCAAAAUAAAUUAUGUACCAAAAAAGGGUAUUUCAAAAAACGAAGAAACUUGAAAAAGAAAUCCACAGACAAAUGUAAGUGCUAUAAUUAUGGAGAGGAAGGUCACAAAAUUUAUGAGUGUAACAAAAAGAAAGUUUAAAUCUCUAAAAUAGAUAGACAGGAAAUUGAUUCUGACUUAGAGUCAAUAACAUCUAUCAAAAGUGAAGACAUUUACAUAGAACUCUAUGAAGAAUUCUCAGAUUUGAGUACUGAUUUAGAAGAAUGAAUCAAUAAAUUGAGAAUCUAGAGAAAACCACUCAAGUUAUAGAAGUUGAAGAAGAUCGGCGAGGAUAUGCUUUGAAAACAACAUACGAUGGAGAAUUAUUAAUAAAAAUUCAAGGAUUAAAAUUUAACCUUAGAACUGAAGAUAGUCUAUUCAGUAGGUUACAAAGAACCUUUUCAAGAGAUCAAAUCUCAUACCACGAAUAUCAAGAAAUUGAAAAGGCAAUAGAGAUAACUUUAACCACUGAAAGAUACAAGAUUAACUUAUUAACAAAGCAAAUGAUCUACCAAAUUCUAAGAAAAAUUUUGGAAAGACAAAGAAAGAAGAUGAAUUACAUUCAUCUUAGAGGAAUCGAAAAAAUGGUAAAAUCCACCUUAAAAGAAGGAAUUAAAUAUCCUAAAGUUAUCAACCUUUCAGACGAAAGAUUUAUUAACACAAGGAAGGAAACCUAGGUAUUGUUGAAGAAAAUUUAGCUUACACCAAAUUAUUAUUUACCUACUAUCCAAGGUAUUGCAUAUCACUGAAAGAUGCCAACUUUAAUGAAGCCUUAAGUUUGCAUUUUCAGGUAAAAAGAGAUGAUUUAUUUAAACCAGGUAACCAUAUUAUGAGUAUUUAUUAUCAAACUCAGUUUUUAGAUCUAUAUUGUAAAAGAGAACUAGGAGAAUUUCUGGAUUUAUGGGUUAAAAACCUAGAAUUAUUCUUCAUCACGAGAAAAGGAGUAAACUAUACAAAUGACGAAAAUUAUUUAAUUGCUGCUAACACCUUUACUGGAAAGGUAAACAAUUGGUUUAAAGGAGUAUCAGAAGAUGCUGAAAAAGUUUUUAAAAUUGAAGUCAUAGAGCAGUUUGAAAAAUCAACUAGAGCAGGAAUAGACCAUAGUAAACUAUGUUGGAUGUGAAUUCUUAGGUAUCUAAGGGGAUGUCUCUAGAGAAAAAGAAACCAAAGGCUAUUAGCAGCAGAAUGCCGAAAGAAACUUCAAAUUUGUAAAAUGAGCUAUAUCCAUGAAUAUACCUGCAAAUUUGAAAAAUACUACUACAAUCUAUUUGAAAGUAGCCUAAUCAUGAAGACAUAUAUGGAUAAAUACUUCUAAAAUCUACCAGGAUUUUGGGCUAGUUAAUUCAGGGAAGAAUAUGCUUAAAGAAGAUCAAACAGGUGAUUUAUUAGGGAAAAGAAUUUCAUUUCUUAAUCAAAGAAUUAGCUAUCUUUGUAUGUUACAUAAUAUACAAAGAAAAUCCAAAAGAAUCAACACUCAAAUUUAUUGUGAAGAUACAGAAGCAACAUCAUAAUGGGGAUGUCAUAAAAGAAAUCCUUUAAAAAGAAAAAGAAAAGACAAAGGAUUAAUCAAAAGAAAAAAUGUCUCCAAAAUAAAUUAUGUACCAAAAAAGGGUAUUUCAAAAAACGAAGAAACUUGAAAAAGAAAUCCACAGACAAAUGUAAGUGCUAUAAUUAUGGAGAGGAAGGUCACAAAAUUUAUGAGUGUAACAAAAAGAAAGUUUAAAUCUCUAAAAUAGAUAGACAGGAAAUUGAUUCUGACUUAGAGUCAAUAACAUCUAUCAAAAGUGAAGACAUUUACAUAGAACUCUAUGAAGAAUUCUCAGAUUUGAGUACUGAUUUAGAAGAAUGAAUCAAUAAAUUGAGAAUCUAGAGAAAACCACUCAAGUUAUAGAAGUUGAAGAAGAUCGGCGAGGAUAUGCUUUGAAAACAACAUACGAUGGAGAAUUAUUAAUAAAAAUUCAAGGAUUAAAAUUUAACCUUAGAACUGAAGAUAGUCUAUUCAGUAGGUUACAAAGAACCUUUUCAAGAGAUCAAAUCUCAUACCACGAAUAUCAAGAAAUUGAAAAGGCAAUAGAGAUAACUUUAACCACUGAAAGAUACAAGAUUAACUUAUUAACAAAGCAAAUGAUCUACCAAAUUCUAAGAAAAAUUUUGGAAAGACAAAGAAAGAAGAUGAAUUACAUUCAUCUUAGAGGAAUCGAAAAAAUGGUAAAAUCCACCUUAAAAGAAGGAAUUAAAUAUCCUAAAGUUAUCAACCUUUCAGACGAAAGAUUUAUUAACACAAGGAAGGAAACCUAGGUAUUGUUGAAGAAAAUUUAGCUUACACCAAAUUAUUAUUUACCUACUAUCCAAGGUAUUGCAUAUCACUGAAAGAUGCCAACUUUAAUGAAGCCUUAAGUUUGCAUUUUCAGGUAAAAAGAGAUGAUUUAUUUAAACGGUUACAAAGAACCUUUUCAAGAGAUCAAAUCUCAUACCACGAAUAUCAAGAAAUUGAAAAGGCAAUAGAGAUAACUUUAACCACUGAAAGAUACAAGAUUAACUUAUUAACAAAGCAAAUGAUCUACCAAAUUCUAAGAAAAAUUUUGGAAAGACAAAGAAAGAAGAUGAAUUACGUUCAUCUUAGAGGAAUCGAAAAAAUGGUAAAAUCCACCUUAAAAGAAGGAAUUAAAUAUCCUAAAGUUAUCAACCUUUCAGACGAAAGAUUUAUUAACACAAGGAAGGAAACCUAGGUAUUGUUGAAGAAAAUUUAGCUUACACCAAAUUAUUAUUUACCUACUAUCCAAGGUAUUGCAUAUCACUGAAAGAUGCCAACUUUAAUGAAGCCUUAAGUUUGCAUUUUCAGGUAAAAAGAGAUGAUUUAUUUAAACCAGGUAACCAUAUUAUGAGUAUUUAUUAUCAAACUCUAUAUGCAGUUACCAAUUCAAAUUAUGGAAAUGUCUAAAAAAAAUAAAGGCUUGGUUGAAACUAAUCAAGAAUGUGCAGGGAUAGCUAGAUAGUUGAAGCAGAAGUUCAACAGGCAGAAAUCCCGAGUGAAUAUGAAAUUCAAGUUGGAAGAGCCCUAGAAAUAGAAAACUCAAGUAUCUCAAACUUGAGACUCUCUAUAGAGUAUGAAAGAAAUGCCAUAAGAAAAGGUAAUUCUAAAAUAAUUACCAAUGAAAACUCUAAUAACAUUCCUAAAGUUUCAGGAAGAUUUUUUACUGGAAGCAACUGGAAUAAACAAACCAUUCUAAUUCAAUCAGGAUCUUUAGCAAACCAUGUUAAGAAAAGUAUCCUAGAUGGUUUAACCACGUAUGAAGGUACCCCAUACAUUUAUAAAACAUUUGAAGGAAACAACUACAACUGCUCAAAAAUGAUAAAACUAUCAAUCCAGUUUGAAUCAACUAGAAUAACUGUUCCCUGUUAUAUUACCAAUCAUGAAAAUGAUUAUAAUAUAAUAUUGGGAGGAACAUUUCUCAAUAUUUUGGAUCAAUAUAAUAUCUAAAAGGAAGGAAUUAACAUAACCUUUGGCAAAAAAACUUAUUUUAUCCCUAAAAGCUAAAUGCCAAAAGAAACCUCUUUUAGAGUAGCAGUAUUUGUAGAAUUUACUACUUACGAAAAAAAUUGACAUCAUGUUGUCAGAUAGACAAUGAUUCUGAAGCUAGUUUAGCUAAAUUUUUUUUGAUAAAAGACUGGAAAACUACUACUAUUAAUGCUUCCGUUGUCAGUGUUACAGGUGACAGGGAAAAGCUCACACAUUAUAAAUAAAAUGUGGAUGUUACCAAUAGAGCCACCGACAUCGAAUGGGCAUAGGUUUAUUUUGGUUGCCAUCAAUUACUUUACUAAGCCAUCACUAAGAAAGUGAUUGCAGAUUUUAUAAAGAAUAACCUGAUUUGCUGAUUCAGCGUGCCAGAAUCAAUCAUUACAGAUAAUGAGGCCCACUUGAACUGUCACUUGAUGAAUGAAAUUUGUGAUCAAUUCAAAAUUACGCAUCGCAACUCGACUGCGUAUCGUCCCCAAAUGAACGGAGCAGUGGAAGAUGCCAAUAAGAACAUCAAGAAGAUCUUGAGAAAGAUGGUUGAAAAUGAUAGAUCAUGGCAUGAGAUAUUAACUUACGUCUUGUUAGGGUAUCGCACGACGGUUCGAACCUCCACUGAGGUAACUCCAUAUUAAUUGAUUUAUGGAAAUGAAGUGGUGAUACCUGCUAAAGUUAAAAUACCUUCCCUAAGGAUUAUCCAAGAAGCUGGACUAAGUAACGAAGAAUGGGUUCGUACUUGCUAUGAACAACUCAUGUUGAUUGAUGAAAAGAGAAUGGUCGUUGUAUGCCAUGGUCAGCUAUAUCAACACAGGAUGGUUCAUGCCUUUAACAAGAAGGUGAGAGCUUAAAUAUUUGAAGUGGGGAAAUUGGUUCUCAAACGAAUAUUCCCUCACCAAAAGGAGUACAAGGGAAAGUUCGCUCCAAACUGGAAAGGGCCACACAUAGUUCGCAAGAUACUAUCUGGAGGAGCUCUGAUUUUGUCUGAGAUGGAUAGCACAGAGUGGACCAAACCAAUCAAUUCUGAUGCGGUAAAGAGAUAUUAUAUUUAAAGGGCGUUCUAGUUUCGUGUUUAUUUAGUUAAUUUACUUGUAAUCACAUUUGUAGUAAUGUUGUUUUCUAGUAUGUAACUGCCUAGAAUCCUUUCCCUUUAUGUAUGAACUACGUUUGACCUGAAUUCCCAAGAGAGGGAUACGUAGGCGGCCUAUGUCGGCUUCGGUCAACCCCUUAGGAUAAUUUAUCCUUUCCCUUUAUGUAUGAACUACGUUUGACCAGAAUUCCCAAGAAAAAGAUAUGUAGGCAGCCUAUGUCAGCUUCGGUCAACCCCUUAGGAUAAUUUAUCCUUUCCCUUUAUGUAUGAACUACAUGAUGACCUGAAUUCCUAAUAAAGGUAUACGUAGGUGGCCUAUGAUGGCUUCGGUCAACCCAUUAAUAUCAUUUGUAUAUCCCUAGCAUAGUUCUAAACUACGUUUGACCUAAUUCUUGCUUCAACGGGAUACGUAGGCACCCCAACUUCUUGGUCAUAUAACCCCAGGAAAUAGAAACUGGGAUAGAAUUUUUGAGAAGGAAUAAAUUCACAAGAUAAGAUCAACGUCCGACAAAGAGAAUGAAGAUCAGCAAAGACUUCAAAUCCACUCGAGUUGGUAUCAUCUCAAACAACUCUAAACUAUGGCAGAAAUUUUGAGGGAAGACCUCAAAAUUUACACCAGAUGCUGGAACAUAUUUCAAAUUCCCCAACACCAGAGGUUAAGGCCAAGAUUUUAAAGUAGUCAGCUGCGACAAAGUCUAGGAAAGGUCAAUCUCUUGCUAUGAUAGAACUAUUUGAAGAAAACCUACAACGAUGAUCAUGAGCUUUGGAAAUCAUCCGUCGGAUAUAGUCAAAACCACGAGAAAGAAGUUCGUUGAGCUAGUACAUGACAUGACUGACAGAGAUUUUCUAGAGUUUUACAGAAGUUUUCAAAAUUAUUUUUAAAAAAUUAAGACUAUUUUUAAAAGAAUCUUACAACUCAUUAAUUUAGUACUUGCCUAGACAUCACUUGGGGUGGAGUGUCAGGAUAGAAUGUCCAGAUAUGGUGGAAUGCCCAAGAGAGGAAAAGAAGCAAAUCAAGGAUCGAAGAAGGUCAACACGGAGUGAUUUCAUUCAAACUAAUCAUUUUUCUGUGAAUGCAGGGAUGAAUACACAAAAGUGAGGGUUUCUUUCAAUAAUUCCUGAGCAAAUUGGGAGCCACAACAGAGUAUUAAUGCCUAAGAACGGUACAUGUAGAAAGCAAGAUGCUGACAAAUGAAGUCAGGUAAAAUCAUUUUAAAAUUUCCCAAGAGGGGUAUUGCAUAUCAUUGCCGAAAGGGCCAUUACAUAUCAUUGUCGAAAGGGCCAUUGCAUAUUAUUGCCGCAAGAGCCAUUACAUAUCAUUGUCGAAAGGGCCAUUGCAUAUUAUUGCCGCAAGAGCCAUUACAUAUCAUUGUCGAAAGGGCCAUUGCAUAUCAUUGCCGCAAGGGCCAUUAUAUAUUAUUGCUGCAAGGGCCAUUACAUAUUAUUGCUACAAGGGUCAUUACAUAUCAUUGCCGUAAAGGUCAUUGUGUAUCAUUCCCGUAAGGGCCAUUGCCUAUCAUUGCCGCAAGGGCCAUUACAUAUCAUUGCCGCAAGGGCCAUUAUAUAUCAUUGGCGUAAGGGCCAUUAGAUAUCAUUGCCACAAGGGCUACUGCAUAUCAUUGCCACAAGGGCCAUUACAUAUCAUUGCCGAAAGGGCCAUUGCAUAUCAUUACCGCAAGGGCCAUUGCAUAUCAUUGCCGUAAGGGUCAUUACAUAUCAUUGUCGCAAGGGCCAUUGCAUAUCAUUGCCGCAAGGGACAUUGAAUAUCAUUGCCACAAGGGACAUUGCAUAUCAUUUCCGCAAGGGCCAUUACAUAUCAUUGCCACAAGGGCCAUUACAUAUCAUUGCCGCAAGGGCCAUUACAUAUCAUUGCCGAAAGGGUCAUUGCAUAUCAUUACCGCAACGGCCAUUGCAUAUCAUUGCCAUAAGGUCCAUCACAUAUCAUUUCCGUAAGGGCCAUUGCAUAUCAUUGCCAAGAGGACCAUCUCAUACCAUCGCCCAAGAAGGCUAUUCAUAUAUCUGUUGACACACGAGAUACAACACUGACACGAGGAUAUCUUUAACAUAUCUGUUGACAUGCGAGACACAAUGCUAGCGUCGAGAAUAUCAUCACCAUUCAAUAUUUAUUGACAUGCAAGACAUAAAUGCUGGCAUCAAGGAUAUCAUCAGCAUUUCAUAUCUGUUGACACGCAAGAUAUAAAUACUGGCGUCAAGGAUAUCAUCAGCAUUUCAUAUUUGUUGACACGCGAGGCACAAUGCUGGCGUCGAGGAUAUCAUCAACAUAUUUAUUGAUACGCAAGACACAGCACUGGUAUUAAGGAUAUAAUCAGCAUUCAAUAUAUCUGUUGACAUGCGAAACAUAACACUGGAGUCGAGGAUAUCAUCAGUAUUUAAUAUAUCUAUUAACAUGCAAGACACAACACUGGUGUUGAGGAUAUCAUCAUCAUUUUAUAUCUGUGAUAUGCAAUACAUAAAUGCUGGUGUCGAGGAUAUCUUAUUAUUUUAUAAAUCAUCAUCUGAAUGCAUUGAAAGCUCACUAUUUGAAGGAAUACCUUUAAGUUACUAUCUAAGGAUGAAUGAUAUAUAAGAUUUCCUAGAAAUUGACAAUUUGAGGGUCAUCUAUAAGUCAUAUUAUUUAAAUUAGGAUAGUGUGCAAGAUCACCUAUGAGUUGAUAGCCUAUAGGUCAUCCAUAAGCCACAACAACAUCCUAACCGGAUAUUGUGCAAGAUCGCUCAAAAAUUGAUAGUUCAAAGGUUAUCCACAAGUCGUAACUAAAUUCUUAUCGGAGAAUAUGGAAGAUUAUCAAAUUGAUACGUCCAAGGGUUCUCUAUAAGCUGCGUCAUAUCCAAGAUCGAUUAUGUGUAGGAUUACCCAAAGGCUAACAAUUUGAGGAUUAUCUAUAAAUCGUAUUGUAUCCAAGGUCGGAUGAUGUGCAGAAACCCCUAAAAGCUAGCGAUUGGAGGGAUAUCUGUAAGUCAUCUAUUAUCCAAAGUCGGAUAAUGUGCAGGAUUACCUAAAAUCUUGAAAUUCAAAGGAUAUCUGGAAGUCGCCUCGUAUCAAACAUCAAAUAAUGCACAAGAUUAUCCAAAGAUUGAUAAUUUAAAGAAAAUUUAUAAAUCGAUCAUCGGCUAUAACCGGAGAGGUUAUCAUUCCACAUACAACAAGUGAUAUAGGUAACUAAAAGGGUUGCCACAUCAGCACAAGAUUACACAGUUGUAGAAACCGUUCUGCAUAAAGUAUCGCCGGUCUCUAAAAGAGCCACCCCACUUUGAAGACAUAUUAAACCGAUAAAUGUCAUAAUUAUACAACAACCAAGAGGGUUGUUGUGUUUCUUGUUGCCAGUUCUUUCAUUCUAAAUAGGUACAUGAAGAGAUGAAUCCGCUUUUCAGGCCACAACUCACGUGGAGAUAUGGUAAAAGACUACAUACCUCUUUCGUAAAUUAUGUUUAGUACUAACACUUUUUGCUUGAAGAAUUGUUGAGAGCAUUCGAGAGGAUGAAAAUCUCAAAUAAAAACCACAGGUGCGGACGACUUCAAGUAGGACGCAGCACAAUGUGAAACUCUUUUUUAGUAGCAAAAUAGGACAUAGUCUAAAGAGGUACGUCAAACUCUUUGGACGCGAGCUAAAGGAUGAUUACCACCACCAUCCAACCACACCCCUGUUAGAUGGCAUGUGGGUAUUUCAGGAUAUUGUGAUUUCAGCUUCACCUUCGAGAUAUUUUAAACUCAUACCGAGAGUAACCUUCUCUUUUUUUCAAAUUUGGGUGGCAACACACUUAGUGUUUUGGAAAUUAUGUCCAGGUAAGUUAUUGCCUAUGGAUGUGAAGGAUCACACAUUCAUGAUUAAGAGGUUACAAUAUUUUUUUGAAACUCGAUCAACUUGUCACUCAUCCUAAGCCAAAGAUCGUCUGAAAUAAAAGACUAUCUUUCCUACCAAUAGAGUCGAACUACAAGCAGUCUGAUUCUCUGAAAUCUUGGGGAUAUGUAGGUUGGGAUAUAUAUAGAAAACUCGACUGCAUUCCAACCUCUCCCCAAAUCCCUCUAUUCCCCAGCUUUCCGGUUUUAUCAAAAACUCCAAAAAUUGAGACAGCUUGUGAAUUAUUUAAAAAUCAUGCUUUAAAUCAAGUUUUAUGAACUACAAGUGGCCUGAAUUCUCAUGCAACCUGAAAUCUGUAGGAAACCUGAUGCCAAGGUUUGACCAUAACUCUAGAAACUCGUGUGGAAAACAAACUGCUCUUAGAUAUAAAUUUGUGGUCGGACAAAAAUUAGGAGCGUCAACCUCCCUUUGCCCAGAAUUACUUGCAUCCAUCCUACCCAAAUGGAGGGGGCAGUUGUUGAUACCUAAUUUUUGCCCUCCACAACUACGUUUAAUCUCGAGUUUCUUUGAUUUUCAAAUAAAAUCACAUCAAUUAUUUUUUCCAAAUAAAUGCAUUUUAAAAUAGGCAUUUGGGAUAAAUUUGACAAUGAAGUGAUAAUUAUAUAUUUUUUCAUAUUUGCAUAUAUGAGAUUGUAUAAAUGAUGUCAUUUAAAUAAACAUUUUCAUCAAAAUUGGAAUUUAAAUUAAGGAUUAUUUAGAAAAUAAAUUUAAAUAAUUAAAUCUUGAUUUAAAUAUAAUUUAUUAUCAUAAAUAAUCUAUUUGGAGAAAUACUUGUUUCAUUUUAUUAAGUUAAGAAGCUCGGGACUGAGUGAAAUAUUUAUUUGUAUCAAAUUUUGAUUAAUUUGGGCCAAUCUAUUAAAUUUGACAAUAAUCAAAAUCAAAUCGGCCUCGAUUGCAAUGCAAUUGGCUAAUUGAUUUUCAAUUAGGCUAAAAUUUAAAUGAAUUUAGUUGAUUCUUAAUUCAAUUGGGGUUAUUUGUUAAAUAACACCAAUUUCAGCCUAUUCUUUAUCUUUAAUCACCGGCCCAAAACAAAACAAUAUCAGACCUGGGCCCAUUUAUUCAUGCAAUUUCAAUGGCCCAACCUCAAUUAAAACUCUCAGCCACUAUUCCCUUCCCUAGCCCAGUCUAAUGAAAGCCGCGACCCGGGCCCAAUCCACCCUUAUCUUCUUAUCCACAACUAUCAACACCAUUCAAUUUAAUAACAACGUAUAAAUCAACCUUCAACAUCGAUGACAAAAUCAAUCCAAAGCACAACUCUCCUCCCAAAUCUAAGGACCCGAUAACACCCCCAACAACUCACUUACCCAAGCUCCAACCCAUCUGUUUCUUUAUCGUCACGUGCCUUUCCACGUGAAUUCGUAUAGAAAAGUUCGAAAACCUUCUAGAAAGAACUUAGCUAUCAUCAUACAAUGUCCAUAUUCCACAAAUCUCGGGACAUAUGGUAUAAUUUGGUACAUUUGUGGGGGAAUUCGAUUGGAUUAAGAGAGAUUCCAUUUCUCCGCAUUGAUUUCCCUGGGGGAAUAAUCCAAAUAGGUACAAGUCACUUGUUUUGGAAACCCUAGCCUCAAUUUGAAUUUUGAAUUUCUCUUCUUUUUUAAAUCCCUAAAUUUUCCCUAAUUAGUCUUCUAUAUAAGAACCCAUUUAGGUCACUGUUAGGGGGUCAAAAAAAUUCUGGGGGGUUAUUUGGAGGCUGAUAAUUCUGGGGUUUAGAAAAUUUUCUAAAAACCUAGGUUGAACAAAAAUUUUUCUUUUGGGUAAAAAAAGGAAAGUUUUGAAAAAAAGUAAUUUGGUUUUGGGGAAAGCGUAACUUUGUUCGGUAAAGAUUUUAGGGAGAAAUAGUUAGCUAGUCGAGUGUUCAUGAUGGUAUUGAGCUUUCUUGGUGGUGAUAAGAGUCCGAUCUUAGAUUGUUGCCCCAUUUUGCUGCUUCGAGAGAGGUAAACACCUCUUUUUCAUUUUAAUUUUGAUGUGGUUUUCUAUUCUUCAUCUCUUUCUUUAGGAUUUCAUUAUAGUAAUGUUGUUGUGUGCUGGGAUUAUGUAUUGUAGGAGCCAUGAAGGCCAUUGAAUUUUUAGUCUGGUAUUUGUUUAAAGAAAUUUUCCUAAUCAGUUUGUUUUACUGGUUUUUCCAUGAGUUUCUCCUUUUCUCUAUGUAAACUUGUUCAAUACAUUGUCAGUGUGAACCAUGGUUUUACGUGAAAGGUUACUUUUUUUAUACCUGUACAUUUUUUCUGACCUGAAUAUGGAAGCAAACCUCAAAUGACAACAUUCAUUAGUAUCUUGAAUGAAAUUCGUUGACUGCUUUUGUGUAAAUGAGAUAAUGACUUGAUGUCUCAAAUAAUGUUAUAUUGCUUUGCUGUGCACCGGACCAAUCGAAUAUAUAUUAACCUUAGUUUUAUCGCGGAUUGCACUGUCUUAUUAAAAACUCUCCUGAUCGCUAACUUUCUGUAUCUGACUAUUUCAGUUGAGGUUUCAUUCAUGGAAUUUGUUGGGUAGAAGUUACCUUUGCUGGAUUUCUAGUUAAUAUCCCUUGUUUACCUGUUUUACUCAAAAUCUGUGGAGCUUCUCUGGUUGAUAUUUUGAGUAAAGUAUUGUGAAAACUUCCUAAUAAACUCUUGGCUCGCGAUUCUCCGUGACUUGCCAGAGAGAGAGAGAUGUUGGUUUAAAGAAUUUUCAUAUGAUUAUUGGUUAUUUGUUCCCUUUUGAAAUUUAAUUCUGACAUGUUUGAUUCGGAAAUGAGACUUCCAGGUUCCAUCUAUCAUUAGUUCGUAGUAGUUAUUGUCUACUGGACUACCUCUGUAUAGGGAUUUUAUAUAUACUCAUGUGAAUAGAAAGCAUUCCAGUCUCACGGGCCCUCUUCCUAGUUUCCCUUUAUACUCACAAGCCCUCUUCCCAGUUUCCCUUUAUGUUUUCUUCCCCUUAAAUAGGACCAUGAGUAUAAGUUCGAUAGAACCUUUAAGUUUUUUAUUUUGUGAAAAAAGCUCGGGAUAUUUGUCCCAUUAUGAUAUAACUUUGUCUAUUCGCUUAUCGCUGAGACUUGGGUACCUCAAAUGGUCAUAGUAGAAGCAUGUUGCGGGAUAGCACUUGGCAUUUAUACUUCUAUGGUUGAUGUUGAAUAAGAUAAUAUUUAGUUAGUAGCUUUUGAAUGUUUAAAUCUAUUUACUUCUUUUUUUACCCGUAUUCUGAACAUGCUUUGAUUUCUUUUGCAUUUUGAUGUCAAACUUUUGCUUUUCACUUCAUAGGCAUGCAUCCGGAUCGAUAUUAUUCUCUCUUUCACUUGACAAUAUUUUUGCUGAGUUAACAUGUCCCUUNNNNNNNNNNNNNNNNNNNNNNNNNNNNNNNNNNNNNNNNNNNNNNNNNNNNNNNNNNNNNNNGAAUAUUUGUGUUAAGACAUUUAUUGUUCUAUUUUUUCCUUUUGUAUUUCAGAUAUGUUUUGAUUUCUUCUCUUUCUUUUUUUUCGCAUGUAAACCACCUUGGAGUCCAAAUGGACUCUUCUUCCUUGCAUUUCAUGGUGAGCCAACAUGGCCCUCAUCCUUUGACUCAAGCCUGAAAAAGAAUCUAAACACCUAUCACGUGGCGUAUGGAUACUAAGAAUCGAAAGAAGAACGAAUUGAGUAAAGUCCUAUCAUUUGAAGCGGCUACGAGACCCCAAAGUCUCAUUUAUUAUUUUUGUUUAUUUACUUAUUGUCGUCUUCAUUUACUUAUUUAUUUAUUUAUUUAUUUCCUUAUUUAUUCAUUUGGGCCUCGAAGCCAAAGUUGUACUUAAUACAGGUGAAGCGAGACUCAAGCUAAAGGCUCGAAAACAUAUAAUAAGGGUAGGUGGAAGACGGGUUGAAAGCCCAAUAUCUAGAUUAGGACUGGGUUGUCGAUUUGGGCCUAAUGGCUCAAGUCCUUCUGCUUCUACCCUUUCCCUUUUACUUUUGCUAAUUUGUUUAUGUGUUUUCUUAUAAACCUAGUUAAAAUCCCUAACUAAGUCGCUAAAAACUGGUUUUGCAUAAACCUUAAAAAUAUUUCCUCAACAAACUACUUUUUCCAACAAAUCUAUAUUUUUUCAAAGUUAGUCAAAAGCAUUUUCAAACAGAUCAGAUAACCGCAAGUUAGCAGAACGUUUUAGGUGCCUAACACCUUUCUAAAACGUUAAUAGGAACCACUUACUCGGAAUCUCUAAGUCAAAAUGAUUUUCUUGUUUUGAAUCGUUUCGAAGUAACUCUCUAAAGGUUUCUUAAUUCCUUUUCAAAAUUAAGUGGCGACUCUUCGCAAAAAGUCAAAAUUUCUCUACAAAAUAGAAAUGAUGACUUUGUUGGGGAUUUGUAACUAGGUUCUAACCAAAUGUUUGAUUUUGUCUUUUGAUUAACUGUUUAUGUGUUUAUAUGUUUUGAUUCUGUAAAGUUCAACUAUCGCAUCUCAUAGCAUAUUCCUGCAUUAUUUAAAUUGUUUUGGUGUUUCGUGGAUGUCCCAGCCCCUAUUGUUCAAUUCCAAAAUAUGUUGGAAAUACGAACAGCUUAUUAGCACGUGAGUCGUCUGACGCUGUUUGUAUUUUGAAACUCAAGUUGUUCGCUUGAGAACCAGUGUACAAACCCACUCUAGACUCCGAGGAUAGAACGAAACCAAAACCCUAUUUUAGGCAUGAGCCUAGGAUAACCCAAUACCUGAGCGGGGUAUUGGGCCUAUUAGAAAACCUACCCUGCGUUUAUUGACCCCGAGUCAAUUACAGACGAAUCAUAUUUAUGUGUUGUAAAAACUACAUGCUUGUCUAAAUUCAAUCCAUUAUCCUUUGGGGUCGGGGUAAGGCUUAUCUUUGUCUGCUUUCAUGUAGGAUAUGUCUUAACUACAUUCCCACAAAAAGUUCAAGAUGGUUACUAAACCUAAUAAUUUGUUGAAACUAUGGUGGGACCACAUGAGCGCAGAAGAGAAAAAGAUUGUUAGAACACUCAUUGGGCAUCUUCCUUCUUUGAUAGAGAUGGACGCUUGGCCCGAAAUGAUCCAUGUACUAACAACCUUUUGGGAUGAUUAGAAUAUGGUAUUUCGCUUCCGGGAUGUUGAAUUGACUCCCACCAUUGAAGAGGUAUUGAUUUGUUACGAGAAUACGGAAAUGUGUUUUAAGAGAAGGGAGACACCUGAUAAGAACAUUUUAGUCCCGGUUGUGUGGGUUCGUCGAAAGAUUAAAGAGGUAUUUUUAACUGACAACGACACCUGUCUAGGAGAACGUGAUAAAGCAAAUAUCACUUUUCACGAGUUGUAUCAUCGGUUCGAAAGAUUCAAUGCUUUUCACAAAUUUAGGCAUAAAUUUGAGUCAGAAGAAAAAUAAAAGGAGACGAGAGCCUUUGCGUUUGUGGAAGGCCUACUUGGAACCAUGGUGUUCCCACAGGAUGAAAAUGGCACAAUUAAUCCGAGUGUUGUCUCAGUGACCCAUGAUUUCUUAUUUGGAAUGGAGUACAAUUCUAAAAAGGUAUUCCAUAACUUAGCUACCAUGAUUGUCGCCGACAUAUAUCAAGCUUUGGGAAGAUGUCAAGUCGAGAAUCGCUUCUUUCAAGGCUGCAACCUUAUAUUACAAUGGUGGAUGAUGAUGUAUUUGGUGAAAAAUCCUAGAACGACACAACCUGACCAUAAAACAAGGUGGAAUAUGCUAGAAUCGCACAACAUGUGGUUGUUUUUACACAAAUUCGAAAGGGAAGAAUCUCAUGAAUUUGGUUUAAGACUUUGGAGAAUUAAGAGAUGAUGAUGUCCAAUGGUCCAUUAACUAUCUUCAUUUAGGGAAAUACAUUAUUUGAGGAGAUGAGUGGCCUUUUAUAGUGCUUCCGGGUCUCAGGGGAACCCAUCCCUACAAUCCUGGCCAAGUUCUUAGGCAAUUCGAGAUCAAGCAGGAGACGCCUCAAAUCGAUUCUAUGCUUAGAUUCUUCAUCGAAUAUGAUGAAAGUGAGCCCCUGCUCAAAGAAUACAUGAAAACGGGUGGAGAAGGAGAAGGUGGAAGGAAGUCUCUUUCCAUAUAGGGUAUGAACCUGAAGUCAGCGACACUUACAAAGAACGGUGUAAAAAGAGCCUCGUUGGAGCAUUGAUUCCGGGGCCGAACGUGCCCACUCGAGUCGUAGAUAUAGAAUCUUAGCAUUAGAUCCGACUCCACAGGCUUCAGGAUGAGUUUCAGAAAAGUGAAAUCGCACACUGACAAAUACAUGUAGAAGAUGCUUUAAUAAUGCGUAUGUUGAGGGAAGAGUUGAAAAGAGCUAGGCAAGAGGCUAAUGAAGAACAUCCCUACUUCACCCGAUCGAAAGCGCGCAAAAUCCCAUCCUCUGACCAUCAUUCAAAAAUGAUAGGAAAUGAUGAAGAAAGCACACUGACUAUCCGGAACAAUGUGAUAGAGGAACAGAAUGAGAUGAUUGCAGAACUUACAAGAAAGUUAUAAAUACUUUAGGAAGAAAUAAAUCGCACUCGGGAUUUCGCUAAGUUGGCCAUCACCGUCAAUGCUCCGGCUCUGAUAGAACAUGGGACUCCACUCCAAAUUCCUCCCCUCAGCACCCCUACACUUGGGAUUAGCCAAAUAACGUAUCGUGCAUCUUCGCUCCCCCAUUUGUCCUAAAUACCAAUCAUGAAAAUAAUCCAGACGCCUACCAUCCGCAAAAUCCAUCUCUGACCCCACAGAACCCGUCUUCGAAUCCAUUCCCAAAUCCUCAAAAAAUAUUUUCAAAUCAACAAAAUACAUUCCAAAAUCCACAAGAUUCACUCUCAAACCCACAAAAUACGUCAAACCUACCUUCAAAUCCCCCAAAUUCAUUUCCAAAUCCGCAAAAUCCUUCUCAGAUUUUGCCAAACUACUCGCAAAGUCUGCAAAACUUUCCCAAUUUCCAAAACGUCCUUCCCACUUACCAACCAAAUUAUUUUCAUCCAUAAAAUCAAGCCUCCCUUCCAAAUCCCCCUCAGGCCAUCGUAUCCCCUGAUAUUUAUAAACCCCUUCAUAAUUCCAAGAUGGACCAUUACAAGGAGAAUGAGAAAGAGUGGAGGACCGAGCAUGAAAGGAAUUUUCUAGCUAUGAAGGAAGAGAUCAUGAGGAUCAAAGAGUCUCAUGGAGCCAGGGACCACGACGGUUUGGGUUAUGACAAUUUAUGUGUUCACCCUGGAGUAGACCUACCAGAUGGGUACAAAGUUCCUAAGUUUGAAAUAUUUAACGGUACCAGAAAUCCAAUGGCCUAUCUGAGAAGGUACUGUAAGCAACUGGUAGGGAUAGGGGAAAAUGAGGUUGAUGCGCCUAUUCAAUCGAAGUUUAAGUGGCGAAGUCUUAGAAUGGUUCAUGUCUCAGGAGCCGAAAAGAUGGACUGGUUGGAAAGCAUUGGCCAAGGGUUUCCUUGACAGGUUCUCAUUCAACAUUAAAAUAGUCCCUGAUCAAUAUUCACUAGAUCGGAUCAAAUAGAAGAAUGAUGAGAGUUUUCGAAACUAUGCUUUUCAUUAGAGAAAAAAAGCUGCCAAAGUACAACCCCCCAUGUCCGAGGAAGAAAUGGUAUCUAUGUUCUCUCGUGCGCAAGAAGGAGAAUAUUAUACCAAGAUGGUGUCAGCUGUGAGGGAAACUUUUGUGGAUUUGGUAAAAAUAGGAGAAUCAUUAGAAGAAGGUAUUCAAACAGGAAAAAUUGCCAAAACCCCGGCAUCGUCUGAGGUGCCAUGUUUUCGAAGAAGAAAAAGGAAGAUGUAGGCACGAUUUCUGCUAAUCCUGUUGCAAAACAAAAAGGAAGAUCAACUCUAGGAAUGUUUUCUCUUCUCCAUUGUCACCAAGCCUUCAACAUGUAUUCUAUGCCCACCCCCAAUACCAAGCUCCACAACCAAAUAUCUCCCACCAAUACCAAGCUCCACUCCUAGACCUCCAAUCUUCAUACCAAGCUCCACAGCCAAAUAUCUUUCCCCAAUACCCAGUUUCACAUCCAAAUUAUCAGUCUCAUUUUCAAUCCACUCCUCCAAAUAAUUGAACAAAUUCCCAAAAACCUCCAAAUUAUCACCAAGUACCUCCUCCUACUAAUCAAAACCAUCAACCCCCCCCUACAAAAUCAAAUCCAUUAUAACCCCCCACGUCCAAACCACAAAAAGAAACCUCCCUAAAAUUUCACCCCACUAGCUGAAAGUUGAACCCAAUUGUUUGAAAGAUUGAAGAAUGCUGGUCAUUUGCAACCAAUACAGCCAAGGCCUAUCAAUCCCAACUCUUGAUUUUUUAAUGCAAGUCAACAUUUUGACUAUUAUUCAGGAGAAGUGGGGCAUAGUACUGAGGAUUGUAUCUAUCUGAAACAUAGGAUCUAGGAUUUAAUCGAUCAUAAGGUCAUCACGCUCCAGGCACCUACACCAAAUUUUAACAAUAAUCCAUUGCCCAGUCAUGAGGGACCUACAGUUAAUAUGAUUGAAAUUAAGGGUGAAUGGGCAUCUGGCAAGAUCAUUACUAAGGUAAACUCUGAAAAACCUAGAAGGGCAGAAGAGGUAGAAAAGAUAGAGAGGCUUGUGGCUGCCUUAAGUGUUAAUGAGAAAGCCCCAUUUAUAGUGAUGGCGGCUCCAAGUCUGGUGAACCCUCCCACAUCAAAGAAGGAAUUCAUUGUACAGAUCAUUGCUGCCCAAGGGAUGACACGGUCAGGACGAUGCAAUAUCCCUAAGGAAUUGACAAACAAAAAAGAUUCACAGAAAAAGCCAAUCACUGAAGGAGAGGCUAAAGAAUUUUGGAGGCAUAUGCAACCAAAUGAUUACUCAAUUGUGAAACAUUUAGAGAAGACACCAGCCUAAAUCUCUGUUUUGACACUAUUAAUGAGUUCACAAUACCACCGACAAGCUUUAUUGAAGGUCUUGGAUGAAGUGUAUGUUCCCGUAGGAACGAGUGUUGAGAACCUGGUUGCGGAGAUAGGAAACAUUGUAGGGAAUCAUUAAAUAUCAUUUAGUGAUGAAAAGUUGCCGUUUAAAGGAGUGAUGCACAACAAAGCCUUGCAUAUCACUGUCAUUUAUUGAGAUUAUGCGAUUAAUCAGGUAUUAAUAGACGAUGGAUCUGGUGUAAAUAUUUUCCCCCGCUCUACAUUGGUUAAAAUGGGCUAUGAUCUGGGGAAAAUUUGUCAAACCUACGUAAAUGUGAGAGCAUUCGAUGGAGGGCAGAGAGAUACCAUAGAAGAAAUUGAUUUGUACAUCCAAAUAGGACCUGUUGAGUUCAAAACUAAGUUUUAUGUUAUGGAUAUCCAUCCUAGCUACAACUUACUCUUGGGAAGACCAUGGAUACAUAGUGCAAAGGUAGUUUCGUCACCCCUUCAUCAAUUAUUGAAGUUCAUUUGGGAGGAUCUUGAAGUAGCCAUCCAAGGAGAGGGAAGUCGAGCGGAUCAUCCCAAUGGUUAUGUUUCGGUGAUUGAAGAUGUUCCAAAAGGUAGCAGUUUCUAUAUAGUGGAAAUUGCAAAUGCUGUGGACAGGGAUUCAAUGUCCAAAGUGCCAAUGCCUUCUGUCUACAAAAUAAUUGCGAUGGUGAUGUUAAGAAAUGGGUUCGAACCCGGUCAAGGUUUGGGUACGAAUUUACAAGGAAUUAUCGAGCCUAUUGUGAUCCCAGAGAAUGGCUCUAAGUAUGGGGUAGGAUAUCAUCCUACCAAGAAGGAUAGGGUUGAGGAUGAGUCAGAAAAGAGUCUGUUUAGGCCCUUGCCACUCAUGUUCCAGUCAUUUCCUGUACGAGAGGUGUCAGAUGAUGAUGGUUUUGGGGAUGGGAUAGGAGAUUUGUUCGAGGGAUGCAAUGCUGUACCAGAAGAUUUCCCAAAGUCCAAUGGAGUGAAGAAGAUUGCGCCAGGGGAGGCCUUACAAAACUGGACCUCUACUCCAGUCAUAACCCAUCGCCCGUCAUGGUAGAGGAAAGGGCAAUUACUAAUAGUUUUUAAAAUCGGUGAUGAUCCGGCGGAGGCCCCGCGAUCCACCUUUUAUAUCUUAAAACUUUCUUUUCAUAUUUUACUGCUUUCAAAAAGGCAUGGACUUGUAUUUGUGCAAGUCAUGAGCCAUGGUUUUGUAAUUAUCUCUCAAAUUUCAGUGAAAAGCCCUUUAUUUAUUUAGAAAAUUCUAUUAUUUCUAAAAUACUCCUAGUAGUAUAUUUUGUUAUUAUCUUGUUAUCAUCUAACUUGGUUUGUUUGUCUCUUACAGUAACAUUAACUUAAAAUCUGCCAAUGUCAUGUCAUGUCAAAGUUUAAACAAAUAAAAUUAAGGGAACGAUGAUGAUUAGAAGGACGAUGAUGAGGGAUAAUUAGUUGAAGAUAUGGAGGAGUUUGAGAAUCGGGAAAAACCCAACCUGGAGGAAACUGAAAUAAUAAACCUCGGAGAUCAUGAUGAAAUCAAAGAAACAAGCAUCAAUGUCCACCUGGCGAAAGCACAAAAGAGAGAGCUCAUUCACCUACUACGGGAAUACAUUGACGUGCUUGCUUGGUCCUAUGAUGACAUGCCGGGAUUGAGCACUAGUAUUGUGUUGCAUAAGUUACCGAUAAAUCUGGAGUUCGAUCCAAUCAAGAAAAAAAUAUGGAAAUUUAAGCCAGAUUUAAGUCUAAAGAUCAAGGAAGAAGUGACAAAACAAAUUCAUUCUAAGGUUGUGGAGGUCACAAAAUAUCCAACGUGGUUGGCCAAUAUCGUCCCUGUGCCAAAGAAGGAUGACAAGAUUCGAAUUUGUGUUGACUAUAGAGACUUGAAUAGAGCUAGUCUAAAGAUAAUUUUUCAUUGCCCAACAUCCAUAUCCUCAUCGAUAACUAUGGAAAGUAUGAAAUGCAGUCAUUCAUUGAUUGUUCCGCCGGGUAUCAUCAGAUAUUGAUGGAUGAGGAAGAUGCAGAGAAAAUGGCUUUUAUUACGCCCUUGGGUGUUUAUCAUUACAGGGUAAUGCCGUUUGGUCUCAAGAACGUGGGUGCAACAUAUACGAGGGAUAUGACGAUGAUUUUCCAUGAUAUAAUCCACAAAGAUAUUGAGGUGUUCAUGGAUGAUGUAAGUAUCAAAUCCCGCGAGUUCGGAUCAUCUGACUCAUCUGGAGAAAUUCUUUAACAGAUUAAGAAAGUACAGUUUGAAGUUAAAUCCUGCUAAGUGUGCUUUUGGUGUGCCAUCAGGGAAGUUGCUGGGGUUCAUAGUCAGCAGAAGAGGUAUCGAGCUAGACCCAUCCAAAAUUAAGACAGUUCAGGACUUACCACCGCCGAGGACCAAGAAGGAAGUUAUAAGUUUCAUAGGUCAUUUGAAUUACAUUAGCAGAUUCAUCGGUCAAUUGAAAAUCAUAUGCGAGCCAAUUCUCAAGAUGGUGAAGAAAAAUGCAUUGAAUAAGUGGACAAAAAAAUGUCAGAGAGCUUUAGACCACAUCAAGGAAUACCUGUCUGCACCGCCGAUUUUGGUUCCACCAAGAGAAAGAAUUCCAUUAUUACUUUACCUGUCAGUCUUAGAAAAUGCUUUUGGAUGUGUCCUUGGGCAACAUGAUAAUUUUACGCCAUAUGAAGCCUGUUAUACUCUUAUAGAAAUGACAUGUUGCACUUUGACUUGAGCCGCACAAAAGUUGAGGCAUUAUCUGUCUUCGUACACAACAUACCUCAUCUCGAGAAUGGAUCCAUUGAAGUAUAUAUUCCAGAAGGCCAUGCCCACAGGAAAGCUAGCCAAGUGGAAAAUGUUGCUGAGUAAGUUUGACAUCAUGUAUGUAACACAAAAGGCAAUUAAGGGGCAAGCCUUAGCAGAUCAUUUGGCAGAGAAUCUGGUUGAUGAGGAAUAUGAGCCACUACGAACUUACUUUCCAGAUAAGGAAACUUUUUUCAUGGGUGAAGACAUUACAGAGAUUUACCCCGGAUGGAGGCUAUUCUUUGAUGGGGCGGUCAACUUCAAAGGUUCAAGAAUCGGAGCAGUUUUGGUGUCAAAAAUGGGCCAACAUUAUCUGGUAACUGCUAAGUUGCGUUUCCCAUGCACCAAUAACAUGGCUGAAUAUGAGGCUUGCAUCUUGGGUCUCAGAUUGGUACUUGAUAUGGGUUUUCAUGAAUUGUUAGUCAUCGGGGAUUCAGAUUUGCUGAUUCACCAGGUACGGGGAGAAUAGGCGGUAAAAAAUCCCAAGAUUACUCCUUAUGUGGAGCUAGUGCAAGAAUUAUGCGAGAGAUUCAAAGAAGUUGUUUUCAGAUAUAUCCCACGGAUACAAAAUGAGUUUGCUGAUGCUUUGGCCACUAUAUCUUCCAUGAUUCAGCACCCAGAUCAAAGUUACAUUGAUCCUUUGGAAAUAAGCUUGAAGUAGUAACCUGUGUAUUGUGCGCACGUGGGAGAGGAGUCUGAUGGAAAGCCUUGGUACUAUGACAUUAAGAGGUAUUUGGAAUCUAGAAUAUAUCUUGAAGAGGCCAGUAACAACCAAAAGAAGACAAUCCGGUGUUUGGCAAAGAACUACUUUCCAAGUGGGGAAUUUCUUUUUAGGAGAACUCCUGAUAUAGGAUUCCUAAGAUGAGUCGAUGCUGCCGAAGCUAAUAAAUUAAUAAAAGAGGUACACGCUAGAGUUUAUGGGCCCCACAUAAAUGGGUUUGCCCUUGCCAGAAAGAUCCUGAGAACCGGUUAUUUUGGAUGACUAUGGAAAAUGAUUGUGGAAAGUAUUUACAGAAAGUCUAAAAUGUCAGAUACACGAAGAUUUGAUUCGAAUGCCUCCAUUUAUAUCUUGGGGCAUAGAUGUUACCGAUAGUGCCACCGGCUUCGAAUGGGCAUAGGUUUAUUUUGGUUGCCAUCAAUUACUUUACUAAGUGGGUUGAAGCUGCUUCAUACAGAGCCGUCACUAAGAAACUGGUUACAGAUUUCAUCAAGAAUAACUUGAUUUGCCGAUUCGGAGUGCCAGAAUCAAUCAUUAUGGAUAAUGGGGCCAACUUGAAUAGUCACUUGAUGAACAAAAUUUGUGAUCAAUUCAAAAUUAUGCAUCACAACUUGACUGCGUAUCGUCCCCAAAUGAACGGAGCUGCGGAAGCUGCCAAUAAGAACAUCAAGAAGAUCUUGAGAAAGAUGGUUGAAAAUGAUAGAUCAUGGCAUGAGAUAUUAACUUAUGCCUUGUUAGGGUAUCGCACGACGGUUCGAACCUCCACCGGGGUAACUCCAUAUCUAUUGGUUUAUGGAAAUGAAGUAGUGAUACCUGCUGAAGUUGAAAUACCUUCCCUAAGGAUUAUCCAAGAAAUAGGACUAAGUAACGAAGAAUGGGUUCAUGCUCACUAUAAACAACUCAUGUUGAUUGAUGAAAAGAGAAUGGUCGUUGUAUGCCAUGGUCAGCUGUAUGAACACAGGAUGGUUCAUGCCUUUAACAAGAAGGUGAGAGCUUAAACAUUUGAAAUGGGGCAACUGGUUCUCAAACGAAUAUUCCCUCACCAAGAGGAGUACAAGGGCAAGUUCGCUCCAAACUGGAAAGGGCCAUACAUAGUUCGCAAGAUACUAUCUGGAGGAGCUCUGAUUUUGUCUGAGAUGGAUGGCACAGAGUAGACCAAACCAAUUAAUUCUGAUGCGGUAAAGAGAUAUUAUGUUUAAAGGGCGUUCUAGUUUUCAUGUUUCUUUAGUUAAUUUACUUGUAAUCGCAUUCGUAGUAAUGUUGUUUUCAAGUAUGUAACUACCUAGAAUCCUUUCCCUUUAUGUAUGAACUACGUUUGACCUGAAUUUCCAAGAGAGGGAUACGUAGGCGGCCUAUGUCAGCUUCGGUCAACUCCUUAAGAUAAUUUAUCCUUUCCCUUUAUGUAUGAACUAUGUUUGACCUGAAUUCCCAAAAGAGGGAUACGUAGGCGGCCUAUGUCGGCUUCGAUCAACCCAUUAAUUUCAUUUGUAUAUCCCUAGCAUAGUUCUGAACUACAUUUGACCUAAUUCCUACUUCAACGGGAUACGUAGGCACCCCAAUGGCCCGGUCAUAUAACCCCAGGAAAUAGAAACUAGGACAAAAUUUUUGAGAAUGAAUCUAAAAAAUUUACAAGACAAGAUCGACGUCCGACAAAGAGAAUGAAGAUCAACAAAGACUUCAAAUCCACUCGAGUUGGUAUCAUCUCAAACAAUAAUAAACUGGGGCAGAAAUUUUGAGGGAAGACCUCAAAAUUUCCACCAGAUACUGGAACAUAUUUCAAAUUCCCCAGCACCAGAGGUUAACGCCAAGCUUUUAAACUAGUCAGCUGCGACAAAGUCUAGGCAAGCUCAAUCUCUUGCUAUGAUAGAAAUACUUGAAGAAAACCUCCAACGAUGAUUAUGAGCUUUGGAAAUCAUUCGUUUGAUAUAGUCAAAACCACGAGGAAGACGUUCGUUGAGCUAGUACAUGACAUGACUGGCAGAGAUUUUCUAGAGUUUUACAUAAGCUUUCGACUAUUUUGAAAAGAAUCUUACAACUCACUUAUUUAGUACUUGCCUAGACAUCACUUGGGAUGGAGUGUCAGGAUGGAAUGUCCUGAUAUGGAGGGAUGCCCAAGAGAUGGAAAGCAGCAAAUUAAGGAUCGAAGAAGGUGAAAAUGGAGUAAUUUCAUUCAAACUAAUCAUUUUUCUGUGGAUGCAGGGAUCAAUACACAAAAGUAAGGGUCUCUUUCAAAAAUUCCUGAGCAAAUUGGGAGCCACAACAGAGUAUUAAUGCCCAAGAACGGUACAUGUAGGAAGCAAGACGCUGAUAAAUGAAGUCAGGUAAAAUCAUUUUAAAAUUUCCCAAGAGGGCCAUUGCAUAUCAUUGCCGAAAGGGCUAUUACAUAUCAUUGCCGAAAGGGCCAUUGCAUAUCAUUGCCGCAAGGGCCAUUACAUAUCAUUGCUGCAAGGGCCAUUAUAUAUCAUUUCCAUAAGGGCCAUUACGUAUCAUUUCCGCAAGGGCCAUUGAAUAUCAUUGCCCCAAGGGUCAUUGCACAUCAUUGCCGCAAGGGCCAUUGCAUGUCAUUGCCGCAAGGGCCAUUGCAUAUCAUUGCCGCAAGGGCUAUUGCAUAUCAUUGCCGUAAGGGCUAUUAGAUAUCAUUGCCGAAAGAGCCAUUGCAUAUCAUUGCCGCAAGGGCCAUUGCAUAUCAUUGCCAAGAGGGCCAUCUCAUACCAUCGCCCAAGAAGGCUAUUCAUAUAUCUGUUGACACGCGAGACACAACGUUGGCAUCGAGGAUAUCAUUAAUAUAUCUGUUGACAUGCGAGACACAAUGCUAGCAUCGAGGAUAUCAUCACCAUUUAAUAUCUAUUGACACGUAAGACAUAAAUGUUGGCAUUGAGGAUAUCAUCAACAUUUCAUAUCUGUUGACUCGUAAGACAUAAACGCUAGCGUCGAGGAUAUCAUCAGCAUUUCAUAUUUGUUGACACGCGAGACACAAUGCUGGCAUUAAGGAUAUCAUCAGCAUUUAAUAUAUCUAUUGACAUGUGAGACAUAACGCUAGCGUCGAGGAUAUCAUCAGAAUUUAAUAUAUCUGCUAACAUGCGAGACACAACGCUGGUAUCGAGGAUAUCAUCAUCAUUUUAUAUUUGUGACACGCAAGACAUAAAUGCUGGUGUCAAAGAUAUUUUAUUAUUUUAUAAAUCAGCAUCUGAAUGUAUCAAAAGCACACUAUUUGAAGGGAUGCCUUUAAGUUACUAUCUAAGGAUGAAUGAUAUAUAAGAUUUCCUAGAAAUUGACAAUUUGAGGGUCAUCUAUAAGUCAUAUUAUUUAAAAUAGGAUAGUGUGCAAGAUCACCUAUGAGUUGAUAGUCUGUAGGUCAUCCAUGUCAUAACAACAUCCUAACCAGAUAGUGUGCAAGAUCGCCCAAAACUCGAUAGUUCAAAGGUUAUCCAUAAGUCGCAACAAAAUCCUUACCAAAGAAUAUGCAAGAUUAUCAAAUUGAUACAUCCAAGGGUUCUCUAUAAACCGCGUCAUAUCCAAGAUCGAUUAUGUGCAGGACUACUCAAAGACUAACAAUUUGAGGGAUUAUCUAUAAGUCGUAUUAUAUCCAAGGUCGGAUGAUGUGCAGGAACCCCUGAAAGCUAGCAAUUGGAGGGAUAUUUGUAAGUCAUCUCUUAUCCAAAGUCGAAAAAUGUGCAGGAUUACCUAAAAGCUAGAAAUUUGAAGGAUAUCUGUAAGUCGCCUCGUAUCCAACAUCAAAUAAUGUGCAAGAUUAUCCAAAGAUUGAUAAUUUAAAGAAAAUUUAUAAAUCGAUCAUCGGCUAUAACCGGAGAGGUUAUCAUUCCACAUACAACAAGUGACAUAGGUAACCAAAAAGGUUGCCACACCAGCACAAGAUUACACGGUUGUAGAGACCGUUCUGCAUAAAGUAUCGUCGGUGUCUAAAAGGGCCACCCCACUUUGAAGACAUAUUAAACCGAUAAAUGUCAUAAUUAUACAACAACCAAGAGGGUUGUUGUGUUUCUUGUUGCCAGUUAUUUCAUUCUAAAUAGGUACAUGAAGAGAUGACUCCAUUUUUCAGGCCACAACUCACUUGGAGAUAUGGUAAAAAACUAUAUAAUUAUGUUUAGUACUGACAUUUUUUAUUUGAAGCAUUGUCGAGAGCAUCCGAGAGGAUGAAAAUCUCAAAUAAAAACCACAGGUGCGGACUACUUCAAGUAGGACGCAGCACAACGUGAAACUCUUUUUUAGCAGCAAAAUGGGACAUAGUCUAAAGAGGGACGUCAAACUCUUUAGACGCGAGCUAAAGAAUGAUUACCACCACCAUCCAACCACAUCCCUAUUAGAAGGCAUGUGGUUAUUUCAGGGUAUUCUGGUUUCAGCUUUACUUUCGAGAUAUUUUUAAACUCAUAACGAGGGUAACCUUCUCUUUUUUUCAAAUUUGGGUGGCAACACACUUAGAGUUUUGGAAAUUAUGUCCAGGUAAGUUCUUGCCUAUAGAUGUGAAGGAUCCCAAAUUCAUGGUUAAGAGGUUACAAGACUUUUUUGAAACUCGAUCAACUUGUCACUCAUCCUGAGCCAAAGAUCAUCUGAAAUAAAAGACUAUCUUUCCUACCAAUCGAGUCAAACUACAAGCAGUUUGAUUCUCUAAUGUCUUGGGGAUAUGUAGGCUGGGCUCUAUAUAGAAAACACAAUUGCAUUCCAACCUCUCACCAAAUCCCUUUAUUCCCCAGCUUUCUAGUUUUAUCAAAAACUCAAAAAAUUGAGACAGCUUGUGAAUUUUUUAAAAAUCAGGCUUUAAAUCAAGCUUUAUGAACUACAAGUGGCCUGAAUUCUCAUGCAACCUGAGGUAUGUAGGAAACCUGAUGCCAAGGUUCGUCCAUAACUCUAGAAACUCGUGUGGAAAACCAACUGCUCUUAGAUACAAAUUUAUGGUCGGACAAAAAUUAGGAGUGUCAACCUCCCUUUACCCAGAAUUACUUGCAUCCAUCCUACCCAAAGGGAGGGGGCAGUUGUUGACACCUAAUUUUUGACUUCCACAACUACAUUUAAUCUCGAGUUUCUUCAAUUUUUAAAUAAAAUCACAUCGAUUAUUUUUUUCCAAAUAAAUGCAUUUUAAAAUAGGCAUUUAGGCUAAAUUUGUCAUUUAAGUGAUAAUUAUAGAUUUUUUCAUAUUUGCAUAUACGAGAUUGUAUAAAUGAUGUCAUUUAAAUAAACAUUUUCAUCAAAAUUCGACUUUUAUUUAAGGAAUAUUUGGAAAAUAAAUUUAAAUAAUUAAAUCUUGAUUUAAAUAUAAUUUAUUAUCACAAAUAAUCUAUUUGGAGAAAUACUUGUUUGGUUUUAUUAAGUCAAGAAGCUCUGGACUGAGUGAAGUAUUUAUUUGUAUCGAAUUUUGGUUAAUUUGGGCCAAUCUAUUAAAUUUGGCAAAAAUCAAAAUCAAAUCGGCCUCGAUUGCAAUGCAAUUGGCUAAUUGAUUUUCAAUUAGGAUAAAAUUUAAAUGGAUUUAGUUGAUUCUUAAUUCAAUUGGGGUUAUUUGUUAAAUAACCCCAAUUUCAGCCUAUUCUUUAUCUUUAAUCACCGGCCUAAAACAAAACAAUAUCAGACCUGGGCCCAUUUAUUCAUGCAAUUUCAAUGGCCCAACCUCAAUAAAACUUUCAGCCACCAUACCCUUCCCUAGACCAAUCCAAUAAAAGCCGCAACCCGGGCCCAAUCCACCCUUAUCUUCUUAUCCACAACUAUCAACACCAUUCAAUUUAAUAACAGCGUACAAUUCAACCUUCAACAUCGACGACAAAAUCAAUCCAAAUCACAACUCUCCACCCAAAUCCAAGGACCCAAUAACACCCCCCAACAACUCGCCGACCCAAGCUCCAACCCAUCUGUUUCUUCAUCGUCAUGUGCCUUUCCACACGAAUUCGUAUAGAAAAGUUUGAAAACCUUCUAGAACGAACCUAGCUGUCAUCGUACAAUGUCUAUAUUUUGCAAAUCUCGAGACAUAUGGUACAAUUUGGUACAUUUGUGGGGGAAUUUGAUUGGCUUAAGAAAGAUUCCAUUUCUCUGCAUUGAUUUCCCUGGGGGGAAUAAUCCAAGUAGGUACAAGUCAUUUGUUUUGGAAACCCUAGCCUCAAUUUGAAUUUUGAAUUUCUCUCCUUUUUCAAAUCUCUAAAUUACCCCUAAUUGGUCUUCUAUAUAAGAACCCAUUUGGGUCACUGUUAGGGGGGUCGAAAAAAUUUUGGGGGGUUCUUUGGAGGCUGAUAAUUCUGGGGUUUAGUAAAUUUUCUAAAAACCUAGGUUGAACAAAAAAUUUUCUUUUGGGUAAAAGAAGGAAGGUUUCGAAAAAGAGUAAUUUGGUUUUGGGGAAAGAGCAACUUUGUUCGGUAAAGAUUUUAGGGAGAAACAGUUAGCUAGUCGAGUGUUCACGAUGGUAUUAAGCUUUCUUGGUGGUGAUAAGGGUCCGAUCUUAUCUCGUUUCCCCGUUUCGCUACUCCGAGAGAGGUAAACACCUCUUUUCAUUUAAAUUUUGAUGUGGUUUUCUUUUCUUUAUUUCUUUCUUUAGGAUUUCGUUAUAGUAAUGUUGUUGAGUGCUAGGAUUAUGUGUUGUAGGAGACGUGAAGGCCAUUGAAUUUUUAGUCUGGUAUUUGUUUAAAGAAAUUUUCCUUAUCAGUUUGUUUUACUGGUUGUUCCAUGGGUUUCUCCUUUUCUCUAUGUAAACUUGUUCAAUACAUUGUCAGUGCGAACCAUGGUUUUACAUGAAAGGUUACUUUUUUUAUACCUGUAUAUUUCGUCUGACCUGAAUAUGGAAGCAAGCCUCAAAUGACAACAUUUAUUAGUAUCUUGAAUGAAAUUCAUUAACUGCUUUUGUGUAAAUGAGAUAAUGACUUAAUGUCUCAAAUAAUGUUGUACUGCUUUGUUGUGCACCGGACUAAUUGAAUAUAUAUUAACCUCAGUUUUAUCGCGGAAUGCCCUGUCUUAUUAAAAACUCUCCUGAUCGCUAUCUUUCUGUAUUUGACUAUUUCAGUUGAGGUUUUCUUCAUGGAAUUUGUUAGGUAGAAGUUACCUUUGCUGGAUUUCUAGUUAAUCUUUCCUGCUUACCUGUUUUACUCAAAAUCUGUGGAGCUUCUCUGGUUGUUAUUUCGAGUAAAGUGUUGUGAAAACUUCCCAAUGAACUCUUGGCUCGUGAUUCUCCGUGACUUGCCAGAGAGAGAGAGAGAUGUUGGUUUAAAGAAUUUUCACUUGAUUAUUGGUUAUUCGUUCCCCUUUGAAAUUUAAUUCUGACAUGUUUGAUUCGGAAAUGAGAUUUCCAGGUUCCAUCUAGCAUUAGUUCGUAGUAGUUGUUGUCUACUGGACUACCUCUGUAUAGGGAUUUUAUAUAUACUUAUGCGAAUAGAAAGCAUUCCAGUCUCAC